UACAGAGGUGGCAAGCGUUGUUCGGAAUUACUGGGCGUAAAGGGCGCGUAGGCGGUUCGGUAAGUCCUGUGUGAAAUCCCUCGGCUCAACUGAGGAACUGCACGGGAGACUGCCGGGCUUGAGUUCGGGAGAGGGAAGCGGAAUUCCGGGUGUAGCGGUGAAAUGCGUAGAUAUCCGGAGGAACACCGGUGGCGAAGGCGGCUUCCUGGACCGACACUGACGCUGAGGCGCGAAAGCUAGGGGAGCGAACGGG
This 253-nucleotide ribosomal RNA is filed under the name uncultured bacterium. RNAcentral's name for it is "partial 16S ribosomal RNA". It matches the Rfam family "Bacterial small subunit ribosomal RNA", at positions 524 to 776 of the family's 1533-position model. The record is from RNAcentral.